GGGCUGUUUCAAAGAUCAAGAAAAAGAAUUUUGUUUCCAUUUCUCGUAACAUAUACAAUUUGGAAAGCAGAAGAAUGAUAUCUGAAUAUGGCCAUCACUAAUGAAAAUAUUAUCUUCAGGACUGAGAUUGAAAUGUAGCUAAGGAAAAAAAUCCUACAGAUGCUCCAAAUCUGUGAGGCUUCUGAAUUAGCUGAAUCCCCAGCGAAUCUUCAUUAUUGACUAGAGGAAAUUACACGGUAUUCUCCUUCUUUGCAAGGCUUGAAAAUUUAUUGAAUUGCUACUGAAAGCUUGCAGAAGCCCCCCAGCACACAGCUGCAUAUUCUUCGUCGUGGGUCCUUCUAGUUGUGGCAUGUGGGACGCUGCCUCAGCGUGGUUUGAUGAGCAGUGCCAUGUCUGCGCCCAGGACUCGAACCAACAAAACACUGGGCCGCCUGCAGCAGAGCACAUGAACUUAACCACUUGGCCACGGGGCCAGCCCCUUAUUCCAUUUUGUCUAACUGCUUUAUUGACUUUACCACAUCGUUUUUUGUGUGUCUUUUAUAGCAGAGGAAACUACAGACAAACAGAAUUAAAGCAGACUAAAUCUUAAGGAAAAUAAAUGGAAGAAGACCACAGGGAUGUGAAAAAAAUAUAAUCAAUUAAGAUGUGCAUGGAAUCAUGGGCGUCAUGGAAGACUGUCUUAAGGAACCAGCAUUAGAACUGAAACCUAAGUUUUUGAGGAACAAUGAUAAGAUACUUAAUAUUCCCAGAGAGAGGGAGAGAAAGGAGGAAGAGAAGAAAGAAAACAAGUUGCAGACAAAGCCUUGCAAACCAGAAUGAUGACAACAACCUUAGAAGCUAGAAGGUAGAGAAGAACUACCUGCCAUGUUCUGAGGGUGAACUAUUGCCCAUCUAGAGUAUUAUACCACAGCAAAUCAUUCACCAAGUGUUAGGAGAGAAGAAAAUACUUUUUCAGACAUACACAGUCUCAAAAAUUUUAGCUCCCAAUCACUAUUUCUCAGGAAAUGUCAGCCUUAUUCGUGUAUAGAAAGAUUGAGUAUUGUUAAAAAUAUAAUUUAUCCCCUAUAAAAUAUAGUAUAUAUUUACUCCUAAUUUCCUAUCAGAUGUUUCAUGGGACUUCACAAGCUUAUAUUUAGAUAAAUGCGAAGAUGUAAAUGGAUAAAAAUAGACAAGAAGAUUGCAAGGUAAAAUGUUAAGAAGAUGUAUUAGAACAAAUUUAAAGAUUUCUCAUAAUGGCAUGGAAUUUAAACAUUGUAGCAUUGAUAGAGAAUUAUACAAGUAAACCAAUAGAAUAAUUCAGAGAUCCUGGGAACAGAGCCCUAUACAUACGCAAACUUAGCAUACGAUCAAUCUUUUAUUAGAUAUAAGUAGGAAAAAAUGGUCCAUAUGGCACAGAGGACAUCAAAAUUCCUCGGUUGCAUAUCCUCUUAAAUAUAUUUCUAAAAUAUAAUCUCACUUAGACAUUUAUUUUUACCCUAAUUUGUAAAACUUGCAACUUCUGUAUAUUUAAAUAUUGACAUUUUAAUGAAAACCAUUAUAAGAUUAUUAUAUAUUGCAACAGUUUGUAAAAUAUAUCUAAUAGAUGUAAAUACCAUUACAAAUGAUAUCUACCAGCAUCCACUUAAAAAAUUCAUAAACAUGCUUUUGAACAUUUUAAAAUUUUUUAUUUUCCCUUUUUUCUCUUUGAAUUCAUAUCUGCGUUCCACUUUCCAUGAAGAAUUUUUCCCAAUUUACUACAUUUUAUGCUUGAAAAUUAUUUAUUGAUUGCUCUAUUUUUCUUUUAUAGAAUAUGUAUAAAAUUGACAUUUUAACAUGUUUUAUUUCCUAUGACAUUAAAGAUCUAAGUGUUCAAAUAUUCA
RNAcentral lists this long non-coding RNA (1859 nucleotides) under Equus asinus (donkey). Its description in RNAcentral is "lncRNA (ENSEASG00005025931.1)". The record is from RNAcentral. Lineage: Eukaryota; Metazoa; Chordata; Mammalia; Perissodactyla; Equidae.